GACAAACGCUGGCGGCGUGCCUAAUACAUGCAAGUAGAACGCUGAAGAGAGGAGCUUGCUCUUCUUGGAUGAGUUGCGAACGGGUGAGUAACGCGUAGGUAACCUGCCUUGUAGCGGGGGAUAACUAUUGGAAACGAUAGCUAAUACCGCAUAACAAUGGAUGACACAUGUCAUUUAUUUGAAAGGGGCAAUUGCUCCACUACAAGAUGGACCUGCGUUGUAUUAGCUAGUAGGUGAGGUAAUGGCUCACCUAGGCGACGAUACAUAGCCGACCUGAGGGUGAUCGGCCACACUGGGACUGAGACACGGCCCAGACUCCUACGGGAGGCAGCAGUAGGGAAUCUUCGGCAAUGGGGGCAACCCUGACCGAGCAACGCCGCGUGAGUGAAGAAGGUUUUCGGAUCGUAAAGCUCUGUUGUAAGUCAAGAACGGGUGUGAGAGUGGAAAGUUCACACUGUGACGGUAGCUUACCAGAAAGGGACGGCUAACUACGUG
This 495-nucleotide ribosomal RNA is filed under the name uncultured bacterium. RNAcentral's name for it is "partial 16S ribosomal RNA". It matches the Rfam family "Bacterial small subunit ribosomal RNA", at positions 28 to 507 of the family's 1533-position model. The record is from RNAcentral.